RNAcentral lists this ribosomal RNA (469 nucleotides) under uncultured organism. RNAcentral describes it as "partial 16S ribosomal RNA". It matches the Rfam family "Bacterial small subunit ribosomal RNA", at positions 335 to 796 of the family's 1533-position model. The record is from RNAcentral.
ACUCCUACGGGAGGCAGCAGUGGGGAAUAUUGCACAAUGGGCGCAAGCCUGAUGCAGCCAUGCCGCGUGUAUGAAGAAGGCCUUCGGGUUGUAAAGUACUUUCAGCGGGGAGGAAGGUGUUGAGGUUAAUAACCUCAGCAAUUGACGUUACCCGCAGAAGAAGCACCGGCUAACUCCGUGCCAGCAGCCGCGGUAAUACGGAGGGUGCAAGCGUUAAUCGGAAUUACUGGGCGUAAAGCGCACGCAGGCGGUCUGUCAAGUCGGAUGUGAAAUCCCCGGGCUCAACCUGGGAACUGCAUUCGAAACUGGCAGGCUAGAGUCUUGUAGAGGGGGGUAGAAUUCCAGGUGUAGCGGUGAAAUGCGUAGAGAUCUGGAGGAAUACCGGUGGCGAAGGCGGCCCCCUGGACAAAGACUGACGCUCAGGUGCGAAAGCGUGGGGAGCAAACAGGAUUAGAAACCCUUGUAGUCC